AGCCUCCUGGUGCUUACUGUAAGCUGUGUGCUUACACUGACUAUAUAGAAAGAGGAGGGGAAGUAAACUGACCCCAUAUAUACCUCAGCCCAGGCCCUGUGUCUAGGCUGUAUUAUGAAUGGAAAGACAUGG
RNAcentral lists this small nucleolar RNA (132 nucleotides) under Castor canadensis (American beaver). RNAcentral describes it as "Small nucleolar RNA SNORA51 (ENSCCNG00000000008.1)". It matches the Rfam family "Small nucleolar RNA SNORA51". From Rfam's summary of the family: ACA51 is a member of the H/ACA class of snoRNA that guide the sites of modification of uridines to pseudouridines. Lineage: Eukaryota; Metazoa; Chordata; Mammalia; Rodentia; Castoridae. The record is from Rfam by way of RNAcentral.